CAUAGCACCUCCUUCGGAACCUUGUCAUACGCCUUCUCCAAGUCGAUAAGCACCAUAUGCAGGUCCUUCUUCUGAUCCCUGAAUUGUUCCGCCAGCCGCCUGACAAAACGAAAAUUUACCGGGCGGAGAGGACUUGUUGUAGGUGUAAAAUAAAUAAAUAAAAAUGUUUAUUAUUUCAUAUCUAUCUGAGCCUAGGUGGACAGUGAACCUAGAUGGACAGUGUUAUCUGAUGAUAUCUGUACUGGUGGGAUACAGGAGAUAGUUAAGGUGUGCCCAAGCUGCUCGAAUACCACCAGCAUAAUUUUUUUAUUUUUUAUUAGCGAAGGUGUUCCGAUUAGCUCGUGCGCACCUUGACUAAUUCCAAAAGGUACGCUCUACUUCCACUAGCAUUUCAUAUAUCAUACAUUUCAUAUAAUUUAAUAAUAAAAAUCAGUUUACAGCUCCAUCUGAUAUCUGUACUGGUGGGAUGCAGGAGAUAGUUAAGGUGUGUGCAAGCUGCUCGAAUACCACCAUCAUAAUUUUUUUAUUUUUUAUUACCGAAGGUGUCGCGAUUAGCUAGUGCGCACCUUGACUAAUUCCAGAAGCUACGAUCUACUUCCACUAGCAUUUCAUAUAAUUUAAUAAUAAAAAUCAGUUUACAGCUCCAUCAAAAACAAAUUCAGGAAUAUAUAAGAGUAUAUACAUGUAAAAAUAUAUCAUGCAUUUAUAUCGAUGAUCAACGUGAAGCUAAGCCCUAACUAAAUGAAUUAAGCAUAAUGACUGAGUUUUUCGAACAGUUCACCUCAACCGCCGGCGAAUUCCCCGGGAUGAAUUUCCGGUGAAAUCAGUCUGAGAGUCUUUUGAGUUCAGACUUUUUCCUAAAUUCUCUCAGAAAAUGAAAAGAAGAAUUAAGUUUGACGAGUG
RNAcentral lists this long non-coding RNA (903 nucleotides) under Nicotiana benthamiana. Its description in RNAcentral is "long non-coding RNA (NBEN_LNC038638)". Lineage: Eukaryota; Viridiplantae; Streptophyta; Magnoliopsida; Solanales; Solanaceae. The record is from RNAcentral.